RNAcentral lists this ribosomal RNA (851 nucleotides) under uncultured fungus. Its description in RNAcentral is "SSU rRNA". It matches the Rfam family "Eukaryotic small subunit ribosomal RNA", at positions 20 to 885 of the family's 1831-position model. The record is from RNAcentral. Lineage: Eukaryota; Fungi.
GUAGUCAUAUGCUUGUCUCAAAGAUUAAGCCAUGCAUGUCUAAGUAUAAGCAAUCAUACUGUGAAACUGCGAAUGGCUCAUUAAAUCAGUUAUCGUUUAUUUGAUAGUACCUUUACCUGGAUAACCGUGGUAAUUCUAGAGCUAAUACAUGCUAAAAACCCCGACUUCGGAAGGGGUGUAUUUAUUAGAUAAAAAACCAAUGCCCUCUGGGCUCCUUGGUGAUUCAUAAUAACUUAACGAAUCGCAUGGCCUUGCGCCGGCGAUGGUUCAUUCAAAUUUCUGCCCUAUCAACUUUCGAUUGUAAGAUAGAGGCUUACAAUGGUCUUAACGGGUAACGGGGAAUUAGGGUUCUAUUCCGGAGAGGGAGCCUGAGAAACGGCUACCACAUCCAAGGAAGGCAGCAGGCGCGCAAAUUACCCAAUGCUAAUUCAGCGAGGUAGUGACAAUAAAUACUGAUACGGGGCUCUUUCGGGUCUCGUAAUUGGAAUGAGUACAAUCUAAAUCCCUUAACGAGGAACAAUUGGAGGGCAAGUCUGGUGCCAGCAGCCGCGGUAAUUCCAGCUCCAAUAGCGUAUAUUAAAGUUGUUGCCGUUAAAAAGCUCGUAGUUGAACCUUGGACCUGGCUGAUCUGUCCUCCUAAUCGAGCGCACGGAUUCGGUCGGGUCUUUCCUUCUGGGGAGCCCUAUGCCCUUCACUGGGUGUAGUGGGGAACCAGGACUUUUACCUUGAAAAAAUUAGAGUGUUCAAAGCAGGCCUUUGCUCGAAUACAUUAGCAUGGAAUAAUAGAAUAGGACAUCGGUUCUAUUUUGUUGGUUUCUAGGACCGCUGUAAUGAUUAAUAGGGAUAGUCGG